Molecule: ribosomal RNA, 650 nt
Filed under: uncultured bacterium
Lineage: Bacteria
Description: bacterial SSU rRNA
Rfam family: Bacterial small subunit ribosomal RNA
Source: RNAcentral
CCUGAUCCAGCAAUACCGCGUGUGUGAAGAAGGCCUUAGGGUUGUAAAGCACUUUCAAUUGGGAGGAAAACCUACCGGUCAAUACCCGGUAGCUUGACAUUACCUUUAGAAGAAGCACCGGCUAACUCCGUGCCAGCAGCCGCGGUAAUACGGAGGGUGCAAGCGUUAAUCGGAAUUACUGGGCGUAAAGCGUGCGUAGGCGGUUCGUUAAGUCAGAUGUGAAAGCCCUGGGCUCAACCUGGGAACGGCAUUUGAAACUGGCGGACUAGAGUUUAGUAGAGGGGAGUGGAAUUUCAGGUGUAGCGGUGAAAUGCGUAGAUAUCUGAAGGAACACCAGUGGCGAAGGCGACUCCCUGGACUAGAACUGACGCUGAGGUACGAAAGCGUGGGUAGCAAACAGGAUUAGAUACCCUGGUAGUCCACGCCGUAAACGAUGUCAACUAGCCGUUGGUCCUAUUUACAGGAUUAGUGGCGCAGCUAACGCAUUAAGUUGACCGCCUGGGGAGUACGGCCGCAAGGUUAAAACUCAAAUGAAUUGACGGGGGCCCGCACAAGCGGUGGAGCAUGUGGUUUAAUUCGAUGCAACGCGAAGAACCUUACUACCCUUGACAUCCAGAGAAUCUGUUACACAUAGUAAGUGCUCGGAGCCC